GCUUGCGAAUUUUGGCCAAAAUCGUUGUUGUUUUUUGGUCUGCAUAAUUGAAUUUAUUUUCGAGGUCAGCAAAAAGCGAGGCAAACGUUUAAAAAACUGAACUUUACAGCUUUGCGAAACCGUUCGUUGGAUUUUCGGUUUUGGAUUUACUUGGAUUUUGUGUUGUCGAUUGCUGAUCGCUGCGGUUGUCAAUCAAAAAGUCAAAUUCCAAGCUGCCAAAGGUGCGCAAUUUGUCUUUCAACUGCAAUUGAGACGAAAAGCGAAUGUGACAUGGUCAGCAGCAGCAGCAGCGUCAACGGUUGGAAAAUGCAAUAAAGCAAUCGAAAAAAUGGUCGAGAAUGCAAUGGGAUCGAUAUUGCGCAUACGCCGCGUGUGUCUCAGUGUCUCUGGCCAUCUGAUAUAGCCGGUAAUAAGCCGGUUGCAUGGCCUCAACAAUCGACAAUCGACUAUUGACAGAGCAGGAAUGCCGCCCGAAUAUGACAAUCGCCAAUAACGCUAACUACAUGUCCAACUUCAAGUAUUAACCCAUUGGAAGCCAAAAAAAUCUAGGGUUAGUUCCC
Molecule: non-coding RNA, 560 nt
Organism: Drosophila melanogaster (fruit fly)
Lineage: Eukaryota; Metazoa; Arthropoda; Insecta; Diptera; Drosophilidae
Source: Ensembl